GAUGAACGCUAGCGAUAGGCUUAACACAUGCAAGUCGAGGGGCAGCACAAGGUAGCUUGCUAUCUGGGUGGCGACCGGUGCACGGGUGCGUAACGCGUAUGCAACUUGCCCUAUACAGGAGGAUAACCCGUCGAAAGACGGACUAAUACUGCGUAUGCUCACAACUUGGCAUCAAGUGGUGAGGAAAGAAAUUCGGUAUAGGAUAGGCAUGCGUCCCAUUAGCUUGUUGGUGAGGUAACGGCUCACCAAGGCAACGAUGGGUAGGGGAACUGAGAGGUUUAUCCCCCACACUGGUACUGAGACACGGACCAGACUCCUACGGGAGGCAGCAGUGAGGAAUAUUGGUCAAUGGGCGCGAGCCUGAACCAGCCAAGUCGCGUGAAGGAUGACUGUCUUAUGGAUUGUAAACUUCUUUUAUACGGGAAUAACAAGAGUCACGUGUGACUCCCUGCAUGUACCGUAUGAAUAAGCAUCGGCUAACUCCGUG
This 487-nucleotide ribosomal RNA is filed under the name uncultured bacterium. RNAcentral's name for it is "partial 16S ribosomal RNA". It matches the Rfam family "Bacterial small subunit ribosomal RNA", at positions 28 to 507 of the family's 1533-position model. The record is from RNAcentral.